Long non-coding RNA from Mauremys reevesii (Reeves's turtle), 851 nucleotides. RefSeq lists it as uncharacterized. The transcript is spliced from 5 exons. The record is from RefSeq and is a predicted model, not a curated record. NCBI's taxonomy places the organism in Eukaryota, Metazoa, Chordata, Testudines, Geoemydidae.
UAUUCAACAAUAUUAAGACCUAUCUGAAGAGCUCAACAAAAAGCUUGUUGUUUCAUAGUAGUGGCAGUCUAAGAGCACAGCCAUUCACUCAGCAUGUUUUAGAAUACUUUGGGUCAGUCUGGCAAUCUGAAAAACCCUAGAGAAAGAGGGCUGUGGUUCUACUUUAAAAAAAUUAAUAAUAGAUGCCCCAUGUUGCUACUGGAAGCAAUAAAGGAAGAGAAAACCAUAAGUAAAGUGUAACAGUCCAAAACAAAUAGCAGAAAACAAUCCACAAACGGAUCAGUGAGAGGACACUGUUGCUUGAGGGCAUCAUUCAACAGUUCUGCCUGCUUCAGCUGACCACAGUCCCUAGAUAUCAAGCACAUGCCUGAACGUUGAUUGUCUACGUAGAUAGAAGAACUAUUGCUGCUGGCUCAGAGAUGGAUGGACGGGGGGAGCAUGCUGCAGAGUCAUUCUGCAUUUCCCAGACAUAUUUGGCAGUCGGUGAGUCGCCUGCAGUGUAGUGUGGGUCCGCAGGGUCUGCUGCUUGGAACGUCACCAACACCUCUGGAGGAGCCCGCAGUACACGUCCUUCCUCCUCUACAGCCAGCCUCAACUGAGUGGAGCUGCCUCCUUUUUAUCUGGCUCUUCCACCUACAGCAUGCAUAGCAGAGGAAAGGGGGCGUGGCCUCCUGGGCCACAGUGAUUGGUCCAUCCCCGGUGGCCCACUGUGGGGUUGGUACAGCCUGUCACACACCCUCCCUCUCAAGUCAAGACCGGAUGGUGGUCACCCCUGGUCCCUCUCCCCUGCUACCUGGGAAAAGAAGUCCGCAUUCGUGUGGACUCGGCCCGGGUGGUGAAGUACCUUGAAU